RNAcentral lists this long non-coding RNA (210 nucleotides) under Lathyrus oleraceus (garden pea). Its description in RNAcentral is "Pisum sativum (pea) long non-coding RNA (PSAT_LNC035011)". Lineage: Eukaryota; Viridiplantae; Streptophyta; Magnoliopsida; Fabales; Fabaceae. The record is from RNAcentral.
UUUUCCGAUAUGCAGAACGAAAUGGCAUUCGGGCCAGUUUUCCGAUGUUCAGAUCAAAGAAGUUUCCGACGUUCGGUUGAUACAACUUGUGUCAUUCAGGCCAAUUUUCCGGUAUUCAGACCGAAGUAGCAUUCAGGCCAGUUUUCCGGUAUUCAGACCGAAGUGGCAUUCAAGCCAGUUUUCUGAUGUUCAAAUCGAGGAAGUUUCCGA